RNAcentral lists this ribosomal RNA (425 nucleotides) under uncultured bacterium. RNAcentral's name for it is "bacterial SSU rRNA". It matches the Rfam family "Bacterial small subunit ribosomal RNA", at positions 355 to 775 of the family's 1533-position model. The record is from RNAcentral.
UCGAGAAUCUUCGGCAAUGGGCGAAAGCCUGACCGAGCGACGCCGCGUGUGGGAUGAAGGCCUUCGGGUUGUAAACCACUGUCGUAGAGGAGGAAAUCAUCGGGGGUUCUCCCCCGGAGUUGACCUAUUCUAGGAGGAAGGACGGGCUAAGUACGUGCCAGCAGCCGCGGUAAUACGUACCGUCCAAACGUUAUUCGGAAUUACUGGGCUUAAAGGGUACGUAGGCGGCGCUGUCAGUCGGGUGUGAAAGCCCUCGGCUCAACCGAGGAAUUGCGCCCGAUACUGCAGUGCUUGAGGGAGACAGAGGUAAGCGGAACUGAUGGUGGAGCGGUGAAAUGCGUUGAUAUCAUCAGGAACACCAGUGGCGAAAGCGGCUUACUGGGUCUCUUCUGACGCUGAGGUACGAAAGCUAGGGGAGCGAAGGG